This 253-nucleotide ribosomal RNA is filed under the name uncultured bacterium. Its description in RNAcentral is "partial 16S ribosomal RNA". It matches the Rfam family "Bacterial small subunit ribosomal RNA", at positions 524 to 776 of the family's 1533-position model. The record is from RNAcentral.
CACGUAGGGGGCAAGCGUUGUCCGGAUUUAUUGGGCGUAAAGAGCGCGCAGGCGGCUGGUCAAGUCCGAUGUGAAAGCUCCCGGCUUAACUGGGAAAUUGCAUCGGAAACUGUUCGGCUCGAGUCCGGGAGAGGGUAGUGGAAUUCCCAGUGUAGCGGUGAAAUGCGUAGAUAUUGGGAGGAACACCGGUGGCGAAGGCGGCUACCUGGACCGGUACUGACGCUGAGGCGCGAAAGCUAGGGUAGCAAACAGG